GCGGGGGUCGCCUAGCCCGGUAUGGCGUGGGACUUGAGAUCCCAUGGGCUUACGCCCACGAGGGUUCAAAUCCCUCCCCCCGCGCCU
RNAcentral lists this transfer RNA (87 nucleotides) under Nautiliaceae bacterium. RNAcentral's name for it is "tRNA-Ser". It matches the Rfam family "tRNA". From Rfam's summary of the family: Transfer RNA (tRNA) molecules are approximately 80 nucleotides in length. Their secondary structure includes four short double-helical elements and three loops (D, anti-codon, and T loops). Further hydrogen bonds mediate the characteristic L-shaped molecular structure. tRNAs have two regions of fundamental functional importance: the anti-codon, which is responsible for specific mRNA codon recognition, and the 3' end, to which the tRNAs corresponding amino acid is attached (by aminoacyl-tRNA synthetases). tRNAs cope with the degeneracy of the genetic code in two manners: having more than one tRNA (with a specific anti-codon) for a particular amino acid; and 'wobble' base-pairing, i.e. permitting non-standard base-pairing at the 3rd anti-codon position. Lineage: Bacteria; Pseudomonadati; Campylobacterota; Epsilonproteobacteria; Nautiliales; Nautiliaceae. The record is from RNAcentral.